UUCUCGGAUAUUCGAUGGAUAAGGCGAAAAUGUGGUGAAUCCCGUAGAAACAUCAAUUGUAACUGCAGAUCAGCCACUUUUGGAAAUGCCUUGUGAGCAAAUUCACUGGGAAUUGCCUGAUUUUUACGGAAAAGAUAAGUUUAUCGUCAUGUUUGGUGGAUUGCACAUUGAAAUGACUUGUUAUAAAACUCUGUGUGAUAGGGGAUAGACAUGUUGUCUUACUGAAGCCAAUAUUGCAACACCAAGAACGACAGAUUCUUUUUAUGUAUGUUCAAAUGUACCUAGGACUAGACAGGCGCAUAAGACAACUUCAGAUAUUUUGCUUGAACUGUUAAUUUCGGAUUAUGAAAGCUAAACUCAAAAUGUAUAAUUAUGUCAUGUGACGUUCAAUGAUUUAAAAGACUGGUGUAUAGAGUCAUCUCAACCACAGUAUCAUUCCUGGCGU
This 445-nucleotide long non-coding RNA is filed under the name Mytilus galloprovincialis (Mediterranean mussel). Lineage: Eukaryota; Metazoa; Mollusca; Bivalvia; Mytilida; Mytilidae. The record is from RNAcentral.